CAGCCGCCGCGGUAAUACGAAGGGGGCUAGCGUUGCUCGGAAUGACUGGGCGUAAAGGGCGCGUAGGCGGUUCGUACAGUCAGAUGUGAAAUUCCUGGGCUCAACCUGGGGGCUGCAUUUGAUACGUGCGGACUAGAGUGGGGAAGAGGGUCGUGGAAUUCCCAGUGUAGAGGUGAAAUUCGUAGAUAUUGGGAAGAACACCGGUGGCGAAGGCGGCGACCUGGUCCUUGACUGACGCUGAGGCGCGAAAGCGUGGGGAGCAAACAGGAUUAGAUACCCGCGUAGUCCCUGUCUCUUAUAU
RNAcentral lists this ribosomal RNA (301 nucleotides) under uncultured bacterium. Its description in RNAcentral is "partial 16S ribosomal RNA". It matches the Rfam family "Bacterial small subunit ribosomal RNA", at positions 509 to 809 of the family's 1533-position model. The record is from RNAcentral.